UAGAGCAUCACUCAUCGAAGACACUUUCCAUCAACUGAGAGUGGCAUGUCCCAGUACCUUCAAGAGGUCCCUUGUGGUGUAUUUCGACGAGGAUGCGAAGCUGACAGAUGUCUACAAAAGGGACUUCUUCCUCCAUUUGUUUGAUAAGCUGUUGGUCCCCGAGUCUGGGAUGUUCAUGUACAACGACACCGAGACGCUGGCCUGGUUCCCUGCAAUGCCUAGAGUGGAGGAGAAGCGUUAUUUCCUGUUUGGGGUUCUGUGUGGGAUGGCCCUGUAUAACAACAACAUGGUGCACCUCCCCUUCCCCAUGGCCUUCUUCAAGAAGCUGGUGAACAUCAAGCCCUCUUUAGAGGA
Molecule: long non-coding RNA, 354 nt
Organism: Salvelinus namaycush (lake trout)
Lineage: Eukaryota; Metazoa; Chordata; Actinopteri; Salmoniformes; Salmonidae
Exons: 3
Source: RefSeq, a predicted model, not a curated record